AGAAUUGACGGGGCCCGCACAAGCGGCGGAGCAUGCGGAUUAAUUCGAUGCAACGCGAAGAACCUUACCAAGGCUUGACAUACACCGGUAACGCCCAGAGAUGGGUGCCCCUUUGUGGUCGGUGUACAGGUGGUGCAUGGUUGUCGUCAGCUCGUGUCGUGAGAUGUUGGGUUAAGUCCCGCAACGAGCGCAACCCUCGUCCUAUGUUGCCAGCGGGUCAUGCCGGGGACUCAUGGGAGACUGCCGGGGUCAACUCGGAGGAAGGUGGGGAUGACGUCAAAUCAUCAUGCCCCUUAUGUCUUGGGCUUCACGCAUGCUACAAUGGCCGGUACAAAGGGCUGCGAUACCGCGAGGUGGAGCGAAUCCCAAAAAGCCGAUCUCAGUUCGGAUUGGGGUCUGCAACUCGACCCCAUGAAGUCGGAGUCGCUAGUAAUCGCAGAUCAGCAACGCUGCGGUGAAUACGUUCCCGGGCCUU
Molecule: ribosomal RNA, 475 nt
Filed under: uncultured Curtobacterium sp.
Lineage: Bacteria; Bacillati; Actinomycetota; Actinomycetes; Micrococcales; Microbacteriaceae
Description: bacterial SSU rRNA
Rfam family: Bacterial small subunit ribosomal RNA
Source: RNAcentral